AACGAACGCUGGCGGCAUGCCUAACACAUGCAAGUCGAACGAAGGCUUCGGCCUUAGUGGCGCACGGGUGCGUAACGCGUGGGAAUCUGCCCCUUGCUUCGGAAUAACAGUUAGAAAUGACUGCUAAUACCGGAUGAUGUCGCAAGACCAAAGAUUUAUCGGCAAAGGAUGAGCCCGCGUAGGAUUAGCUAGUUGGUGGGGUAAAGGCCUACCAAGGCGACGAUCCUUAGCUGGUCUGAGAGGAUGAUCAGCCACACGGGGACUGAGACACGGCCCAGAACUCAAGGGGGGGAAAGAGGGGGGAAAAUAGGAAAAUGGGGAAAAGCCAGGCACACCAAUGCCGGGGGGGUAAAGAAGGGUUUAGGGUUGAAAAGCUCUUUUACCGGGGAAGAAAAGAAGGGGACGGGGGAAAAAAGCCCCGGUAAAUCCCGG
Molecule: ribosomal RNA, 432 nt
Filed under: uncultured bacterium
Lineage: Bacteria
Description: partial 16S ribosomal RNA
Rfam family: Bacterial small subunit ribosomal RNA
Source: RNAcentral